Molecule: ribosomal RNA, 327 nt
Filed under: uncultured Ruminococcus sp.
Lineage: Bacteria; Bacillati; Bacillota; Clostridia; Eubacteriales; Oscillospiraceae
Description: partial 16S ribosomal RNA
Source: RNAcentral
GGAGUUUGGGCCGUGUCUCAGUCCCAAUGUGGCCGAUCACCCUCUCAGGUCGGCUAUGGAUCGUAGGCUUGGUGGGCCGUUACUCCGCCAACUACCUAAUCCAACGCGGGCCCAUCGUAUGCCGAUAAAUCUUUUCACACUGCACCAUGCGAUGCUGUGCGCUUAUGCGGUAUUAGCAGCCGUUUCCAGCUGUUGUCCCCCUGCAUACGGCAGGUUGCCCACGCGUUACUCACCCGUCCGCCACUAGAAUUUCUAAACAUCCAGCGAACCUUCAGUCUAGAGUUCCCGUUCGACUUGCAUGUGUUAAGCACGCCGCCAGCGUUCAUC